RNAcentral lists this non-coding RNA (132 nucleotides) under unclassified sequences. The record is from RNAcentral.
UAAAUCAUCAGAAAAUGACAAACCUGUGGGGCGUAAGUAAAUACUUUUAUGCAAGAGAAGAAGAGUGGUGAUUGCUCUGAUUAGUAUUGAUAGUCACAAGUAUUUAUAAUCGUGCGGACGUAAAAAUCAGGU